RNAcentral lists this ribosomal RNA (253 nucleotides) under uncultured bacterium. Its description in RNAcentral is "partial 16S ribosomal RNA". It matches the Rfam family "Bacterial small subunit ribosomal RNA", at positions 524 to 776 of the family's 1533-position model. The record is from RNAcentral.
UACGUAGGGGGCAAGCGUUGUCCGGAUUUAUUGGGCGUAAAGCGCGCGCAGGCGGUCCUUUAAGUCUGAUGUGAAAGCCCACGGCUCAACCGUGGAGGGUCAUUGGAAACUGGGGGCCUUGAGUACAGAAGAGGAAAGCGGAAUUCCACGUGUAGCGGUGAAAUGCGUAGAGAUGUGGAGGAACACCAGUGGCGAAGGCGGCUUUCUGGUCUGUAACUGACGCUGAGGCGCGAAAGCGUGGGGAGCAAACAGG